AUUAUCAGUUAUUAUUAUUUGUUCAAGUAUCCAAGCAAAUAAUGAAUCAUCAGAUGAUCUGUUUAGUAAAAGGUAUGUAUUUAUGGAAGCAGAGAAAUACACAAAGAGUAAGAAAUACUUUCAUAGUGCAACAGUCUAUCAUGGCUGACUAGACAUUCUUUAUCCCAACAACAUUUAGGCCAAGUGAUUCAAAACAACAUUAGCUUUCAGUGCAGUAACCUACAUACGAGCAUGGCAGAGAAACAACAGACAUUCAUUAUUCAGUGAGAGGUGUUUGAACCAUACAUUUCCAUUCAGUAAAAGGUGUUUGAACCAUACAUUUCCAUUCAGUAAAAGGUGUUUGAACCAUACAUUUCCAUUCAGUGAAAGGUGUUUGAUCCAUACAUUUCCAUUCAGUAAAAGGUGUUUGAACCAUACAUUUCCAUUCAGUAAAAGGUGUUUGAUCCAUACAUUUCCAUUCAGUAAAAGGUGUUUGAACCAUACAUUUCCAUUCAGUAAAAGUGUUUGAUCCAUACAUUUCCAUUCAGUAAAAGGUGUUUGUACCAUGUCGUAGAAUUACAACAUUAUGUUAAUCACAUUACUUUAAUAUUAGAAUUUGUUCCUAUAUGAGUACUUUCACAUAUCUUGUUCUUCUGACAGUAGAUAUUUGAUGGCUUGGUGAUAACCUAAGGACUGCAUUUGAUUUUAUGGGGUGGCAGGGUAGCCUAGUGGUUAGAGCAUUGGACUAGUAACUGAAAGGUUGCGAGUUCGAAUCCCCGAGCUCACAUAUCUGUCGUUCUUAACCCACUGUUCCUAGACAGAUAGAAAAUAAUUUGUUCUUAACUGACUUGCCUAGUCAAAUAAAAUAACAUAAAAAUGAGAGCCUACAUGCCUGCCUGUUGUUGCCAGGGAGAACAGAUCUCCAGUUUAUUUAUCCCAUAUGGCAGAUUAAUCCUGGCCUCCAUCAUUCUGAUGCAUUAGUAUUUCUGUAUAAACCUAUACAUCUUGAUGUCUGUUGCAUAAGAGCACAAUGUAUCUUUGUAUUUGUAUUUCUAAUCAAAUCAAAUUGGUCACAUACACAUGGUUAGCAAAUGUGAAUGCGAGUGUAGCGAAAUGCUUGUGCUUCUAGUUCCGACAGUUCAGCAAUAUCUAACAUGUAAUCUAACAAUUCCCCAACAACUACCUAAUUCACACAAAUCUUAGUAAAGAAAUGGAAUAAGAAUAUAUAGAUAGAAAUAUAUGGAUGAGCAAUGACAGAGCGGCAUAGGCAAGAUACAAUAGAUGGUAUAAAAUACAGUAUAUACGUAUGAGAUGAGUAAUUCAAGAUAUGUAAACAUUAUGUAAGUGACGAGAGAUCCAUUAAUUAAAGUGGCCAAUGAUUUUAAGUCUGUAUGAAGGCAACAGUGCUAGUGAUGGCUAAACAUACCAGAUAGUAACAGGUGACUGAAUCAACUGAACAAAGCACCAGUAUAGAGCUGUGAUAACUAGAAUACAGCCUGUCUGGAACCACAGAUACUGUAGAUGACACUGGCACAGGACUGACUGACUCUGUGUGUGUGUGUGUGUGUGUGUGUGUGUGUGUGUGUGUGUGUGUGUGUGUGUGUGUGUGUGUGUGUGUGUGUGUGUGUGUGUGUGUGUGUGUGUGUGUGUGUGUGUCCUGCUCCCAUUUUGACCACACCGUUCUGGUUCCUCAAUCAGUCAUAACAAUAGUAGUAACUCUCAUCCCACUCAGUAAUAAUAAUAGUAGUACCUCUGAUCCCACUCAGUCAUAAUAAUAGUCGUAACUCUGAUCCCACUCAGUCAUAUUAAUAGCAGUAACCCUGAUCCCACUCAGUCAUAAUAAUAGCAGUAACUCUGAUCCCACUCAGUCAUAAUAAUAGUAGUAACUCUGAUCCCACUCAGUCAUAAUAAUAGUAGUAUCUCUGAUCCCACUCAGUCAUAAUAAUAGUAGUAACGCUGAUCCCACUCAGUCAUAAUAAUAGUAGUAACUCUGAUCCCACUCAGUCAUAAUAAUAGUAGUAACUCUGAUCCCACUCAGUCAUAAUAAUAGUAGUAACUCAGUCAUAAUAAUAGUAGUAACUCUGAUCCCACUCAGUCAUAAUAAUAGUAGUACCUCUGAUCCCACUCAGUCAUAAUAAUAGUACUAACUCUGAUCCCACUCAGUCAUAAUAAUAGUAGUAACUGUGAUCCCACUCAGUCAUAAUAAUAGAAGUAACUCUGAUCCCACUCAGUCAUAAUAAUAGUAGUAACUCUGAUCCCACUCAGUCAUAAUAAUAGUAGUAUCUCUGAUCCCACUCAGUCAUAAUAAUAGUAGUAACUCUGAUCCCACUCAGUCAUAAUAAUAGUAGUAACUCAGUCAUAAUAAUAGUAGUAACUCUGAUCCCACUCAGUCAUAACAAAAGUAGUAAGUCUGAUCCCACUCAGUCAUAAUAAUAGUAGUAACUCUGAUCCCACUUUUUUUCUCAAAGCUGACGGGAUGACACGUGUCCUACUAAUAUCAUUACACUCGUAACAACUUAAGUACUACGAAACUUAAACCUCACAGCAAAGUUAAAAAAAUACAUUUAUUUUUUGGUUGACCAAAUUCUGCAUUCUCAUUGACAUCCACACAAAAACUCAUCUUUUGAUUUGAUGAAACAGUGAAAAACGCCACCUGCUGGAGGGAGACAGAUUUUCUGCAGUGUUCCUCUUCUUCUCUGAUAUGAACCAGAAACAAGGAACCAGUGAGACGUCUCACUUCCUCUUCCAUCUCUGAUCUAACUCCAGGAUUGCAACGGGAACGUGUUAUGGUUCUGUGAUCUAUAUAUGGAUCGCAGUGUAAUUCAAAACCAUCCUCGACCCCGCUAUCAGGUCAGCUGUGGCUAAACUUUAAACCGAUAUAGUAGUUUAGAAACAAAACCAACGCGUGUGCAACUAUGAGGGGUUGGCUUAGAUUGUUGAUAACAUGUAAACUAUGUUUAUUGAAAACAUAAAUACAUUUGCACAAUCAGCACUUCUCUCAAAUAAAUUGUUACAGUUGUUGGUUAGCUAGCUAGCGAAUUUGAGCCAUAUUGGUAUGGCCACCGGUACCUCUUUGGGUGUGGGGAUACCGCUAAUACAGGAGAAGUAAAGGCCAGGUGCACUAUUUUGGUUGGGGAAAGAAUAAUUCCUGGGCUGUAGACGGUGGUACUGUAAAGGUCACCGCGUUCAAUGAAUUAGCAAGUCGGUAACGUCAGCGUGUCCUAGUUCCGGUUAGUAUGUGAACAUUUGAAGGAGGCAUAAAGUAGCUGAAACCAGUCACUUUCGAUUCCCCACAUGGCAGUUUCUUGUCAUUGUUGGUAGCUAGCUAUCUGGCCAAGCAUCGGUAUCGUGACGUUUUCAGCUAACCCAUAUAUGGAGUGGCCAAGUGUGUGAACAAUCAUUUUAAAAGGUUCAUGGUUAUCCUUUGCUGUCCACAAGCAUUGGUUCUCAUAAAAAUAAAUAGCCUAGAUGUUAUUUUAUAUGAACCAUAGAUUUGUCCUCGUGUCCUAUGAGAAUUAAAAGCACUGGGUUGUAAUGACAGGCGUGAACCCUCAACCUUCUGGCCCGUAGCCCCGCAGAAAUAGACUGUGCCACAAAGGCAUGCUCAAGUGGAAGAGUCAAUAUCCUCACUUAUACACCAGGCUCGCUACAGUAUUUAAUAUGAGUAAGCAUAGGAUAAGAUUCGGUAACAGUAGCUUAGUCACUGCAGCCUAAUGUAAAUAUAAAUGCAUUAGCCAACUCCUUUCUAUACAGAAAUAAAUACAAUCCUAAAAAAACAUCACCAGAGACUAAGACUCAGACACAGUGUUACGGCUUCUAGGGAUAGUGGGUGGAGGAGUCAGGCGCAGAGAGCAGGUUAGUUACGAACGUGGAUCUUUAUUCCAAAGACAGUGAAAAAAUAGAGACCACAAAAUAAUCCAACACCAUAAACAGAGAACAAGCCCGCACAAUAGCCCGCGGGCCUAGUGCCCUUAAACAGCCUACAAACAAAACUAAACUCAAAACAGGUGUAACCAAUUAGACCAAACUAACAGAAACAAAAUAAAGGGAAUCGAUGGCAGCUAGUAGGCCGGCGAUGACGACCGCCGAGUGCCCUGCCCGAACAGGAAGAGGCACCAUCUUCGAC
RNAcentral lists this long non-coding RNA (4105 nucleotides) under Oncorhynchus mykiss (rainbow trout). RNAcentral's name for it is "lncRNA (ENSOMYG00000072467.1)". Lineage: Eukaryota; Metazoa; Chordata; Actinopteri; Salmoniformes; Salmonidae. The record is from RNAcentral.